Small nucleolar RNA from Carcharodon carcharias (great white shark), 69 nucleotides. RefSeq annotates it as small nucleolar RNA SNORD61. The transcript has a single exon. The record is from RefSeq and is a predicted model, not a curated record. Lineage: Eukaryota; Metazoa; Chordata; Chondrichthyes; Lamniformes; Lamnidae.
GCAAUGAUGACUUCUCUGGCACUGAUCAUCAGAGCUGAUAUUGCCUUUCCUCUAAGAAGUUCUGAGCUU